This 301-nucleotide ribosomal RNA is filed under the name uncultured bacterium. RNAcentral describes it as "partial 16S ribosomal RNA". It matches the Rfam family "Bacterial small subunit ribosomal RNA", at positions 509 to 808 of the family's 1533-position model. The record is from RNAcentral.
CAGUAGCCACGGGAAUACGUAGGGUGCGAGCGUUAAUCGGAAUUACUGGGCGUAAAGCGUGCGCAGGCGGUCAUAUAAGACAGAUGUGAAAUCCCCGGGCUCAACCUGGGACCUGCAUUUGUGACUGUAUAGCUAGAGUACGGUAGAGGGGGAUGGAAUUCCGCGUGUAGCAGUGAAAUGCGUAGAUAUGUGGAGGAAUACCGAUGGCGAAGGCAGCCCCCUGGGAUAACACUGACGCUCAUGCACGAAAGCGUGGGGAGCAAACAGGAUUAGAUACCCCGUAGUCCCUGUCUCUUAUACC